Molecule: ribosomal RNA, 588 nt
Filed under: uncultured bacterium
Lineage: Bacteria
Description: partial 16S ribosomal RNA
Rfam family: Bacterial small subunit ribosomal RNA
Source: RNAcentral
UGGGGAAUAUUGGACAAUGGGCGCAAGCCUGAUCCAGCAAUGCCGCGUGUGUGAAGAAGGCCUUCGGGUUGUAAAGCACUUUUAUCAGGAGCGAAACGCUGUCGGCUAAUACCCGGCGGAACUGACGGUACCUGAGGAAUAAGCACCGGCUAACUUCGUGCCAGCAGCCGCGGUAAUACGAAGGGUGCAAGCGUUAAUCGGAAUUACUGGGCGUAAAGCGUGCGUAGGCGGUUUCUUAAGUCUGCUGUGAAAUCCCCGGGCUCAACCUGGGAAUGGCAGUGGAUACUGGGAGGGCUAGAGUGUGUCAGAGGGUGGUGGAAUUCCCGGUGUAGCGGUGAAAUGCGUAGAGAUCCGGGAGGAACAUCAGUGGCGAAGGCGGCCACCUGGGACAACACUGGACGCUGAGGCACGAAAGCGUGGGGGAGCAAACAGGAUUAGAUACCCUGGUAGUCCACGCCCUAAACGAUGCGAACUGGAUGUUGGUCUCAACUCGGAGAUCAGGUGUCGAAGCUAACGCGUUAAGUUCGCCGCCUGGGGAGUACGGUCGCAAGACUGGAAACUCAAAUGAAUUGACGGGGGUCAUAGCUG